Molecule: ribosomal RNA, 491 nt
Filed under: uncultured bacterium
Lineage: Bacteria
Description: partial 16S ribosomal RNA
Rfam family: Bacterial small subunit ribosomal RNA
Source: RNAcentral
GUGAACGCUGGCGGUAGGCCUAACACAUGCAAGUCGAACGGCAGCACAGUAAGGGCUUGCUCUUACGGGUGGCGAGUGGCGGACGGGUGAGGAAUACAUCGGAAUCUACUUUUUCGUGGGGGAUAACGUAGGGAAACUUACGCUAAUACCGCAUACGACCUACGGGUGAAAGCCGGGGAUCUUCGGACCUUUCGCGAUUGAAUGAGCCGAUGUCGGAUUAGCUAGUUGGCGGGGUAAAGGCCCACCAAGGCGACGAUCCGUAGCUGGUCUGAGAGGAUGAUCAGCCACACUGGAACUGAGACACGGUCCAGACUCCUACGGGAGGCAGCAGUGGGGAAUAUUGGACAAUGGGCGCAAGCCUGAUCCAGCCAUACCGCGUGGGUGAAGAAGGCCUUCGGGUUGUAAAGCCCUUUUGUUGGGAAAGAAAAGCAGCAGGUUAAUACCCCGCUGUUCUGACGGUACCCAAAGAAUAAGCACCGGCUAACUUCGUG